UUAUUGUAUGUUCUUUGAGGUGCGUGAAUCGAGUUAAUUAAGUUAAAUUUACUUGAAUUCUCUUGAAAGAGAGGGAAGCCUUCAGGAAUGCAAACACAAGGAGUACAUGGUUGUAGUGUGCUCGUGUUGUAUGGUAUUGGUUAAGUCGAGCGAUGAGAAUUAUCCAUGUGUUUAGUUGUCGUCAUUAAAUUUAGAAUCUAAACGAAUUGCCGGUGAAACAUGGAGAAAGGUGAGGAUGGCGUCAAGUCAGCAAGCCUCUUUUACCCUGAGUGACAUGUGUUAUAAUGGUUGGACAAAGGAUCGGGGUCCUUUGAGGGUGAGCUAACCCCAACUACCCAUCCUUAAUUAGUUUUCAUAUCAUU
Molecule: non-coding RNA, 362 nt
Filed under: Capsicum annuum
Lineage: Eukaryota; Viridiplantae; Streptophyta; Magnoliopsida; Solanales; Solanaceae
Description: Bacterial small subunit ribosomal RNA
Rfam family: Bacterial small subunit ribosomal RNA
Source: Rfam by way of RNAcentral